This is a small nuclear RNA of Erinaceus europaeus (western European hedgehog), 107 nucleotides long. The record is from Ensembl. Lineage: Eukaryota; Metazoa; Chordata; Mammalia; Eulipotyphla; Erinaceidae.
GUGCUCACUUUGGCUGCACAUACACUAAAAUUGGAACAAUACAGAGAAGAUUAGCGUGGCCCCUGCACAAGGAUAACAUGCAAAUUCAUGAAGCAUUCCAUAUAUUU